UACGGAGGGUGCAAGCGUUAAUCGGAAUUACUGGGCGUAAAGCGCACGUAGGUGGUUUGCUAAGCCAGCUGUGAAAUCCCCGGGCUCAACCUGGGCACUGCAGUUGGAACUGGCAAGCUAGAGUAGGGUAGAGGGGUGUGGAAUUCCAGGUGUAGCGGUGAAAUGCGUUGAGAUCGGAAGGAACGCCCGUGGCGAAAGCGAGCUCCUGGAUGUCUUCUGACGCUGAGACGCGAAAGCUAGGGUAGCGAACGGG
This 253-nucleotide ribosomal RNA is filed under the name uncultured bacterium. Its description in RNAcentral is "partial 16S ribosomal RNA". It matches the Rfam family "Bacterial small subunit ribosomal RNA", at positions 524 to 776 of the family's 1533-position model. The record is from RNAcentral.